UUUAUGGAGAGUUUGAUCCUGGCUCAGGAUGAACGCUGGCGGCGUGCCUAAUACAUGCAAGUCGAGCGAACGGACGAGAAGCUUGCUUCUCUGAUGUUAGCGGCGGACGGGUGAGUAACACGUGGAUAACCUACCUAUAAGACUGGGAUAACUUCGGGNAACCGGAGCUAAUACCGGAUNNNAUUUUGAACCGCAUGGUUCAAAAGUGAAAGACGGUCUUGCUGUCACUUAUAGAUGGAUCCGCGCUGCAUUAGCUAGUUGGUAAGGUAACGGCUUACCAAGGCAACGAUGCAUAGCCGACCUGAGAGGGUGAUCGGCCACACUGGAACUGAGACACGGUCCAGACUCCUACGGGAGGCAGCAGUAGGGAAUCUUCCGCAAUGGGCGAAAGCCUGACGGAGCAACGCCGCGUGAGUGAUGAAGGUCUUCGGAUCGUAAAACUCUGUUAUUAGGGAAGAACAUAUGUGUAAGUAACUGUGCACAUCUUGACGGUACCUAAUCAGAAAGCCACGGCUAACUACGUGCCAGCAGCCGCGGUAAUACGUAGGUGGCAAGCGUUAUCCGGAAUUAUUGGGCGUAAAGCGCGCGUAGGCGGUUUUUUAAGUCUGAUGUGAAAGCCCACGGCUCAACCGUGGAGGGUCAUUGGAAACUGGAAAACUUGAGUGCAGAAGAGGAAAGUGGAAUUCCAUGUGUAGCGGUGAAAUGCGCAGAGAUAUGGAGGAACACCAGUGGCGAAGGCGACUUUCUGGUCUGUAACUGACGCUGAUGUGCGAAAGCGUGGGGAUCAAACAGGAUUAGAUACCCUGGUAGUCCACGCCGUAAACGAUGAGUGCUAAGUGUUAGGGGGUUUCCGCCCCUUAGUGCUGCAGCUAACGCAUUAAGCACUCCGCCUGGGGAGUACGACCGCAAGGUUGAAACUCAAAGGAAUUGACGGGGACCCGCACAAGCGGUGGAGCAUGUGGUUUAAUUCGAAGCAACGCGAAGAACCUUACCAAAUCUUGACAUCCUUUGACAACUCUAGAGAUAGAGCCUUCCCCUUCGGGGGACAAAGUGACAGGUGGUGCAUGGUUGUCGUCAGCUCGUGUCGUGAGAUGUUGGGUUAAGUCCCGCAACGAGCGCAACCCUUAAGCUUAGUUGCCAUCAUUAAGUUGGGCACUCUAAGUUGACUGCCGGUGACAAACCGGAGGAAGGUGGGGAUGACGUCAAAUCAUCAUGCCCCUUAUGAUUUGGGCUACACACGUGCUACAAUGGACAAUACAAAGGGCAGCGAAACCGCGAGGUCAAGCAAAUCCCAUAAAGUUGUUCUCAGUUCGGAUUGUAGUCUGCAACUCGACUACAUGAAGCUGGAAUCGCUAGUAAUCGUAGAUCAGCAUGCUACGGUGAAUACGUUCCCGGGUCUUGUACACACCGCCCGUCACACCACGAGAGUUUGUAACACCCGAAGCCGGUGGAGUAACCUUUUAGGAGCUAGCCGUCGAAGGUGGGACAAAUGAUUGGGGUGAAGUCGUAACAAGGUAGCCGUAUCGGAAGGUGCGGCUGGAUCACCUCCUUU
This 1552-nucleotide ribosomal RNA is filed under the name Staphylococcus aureus. RNAcentral describes it as "16S ribosomal RNA". It matches the Rfam family "Bacterial small subunit ribosomal RNA". The record is from RNAcentral. Lineage: Bacteria; Bacillati; Bacillota; Bacilli; Caryophanales; Staphylococcaceae.